This 1281-nucleotide long non-coding RNA is filed under the name Callithrix jacchus (white-tufted-ear marmoset). RNAcentral describes it as "lncRNA (ENSCJAG00000059172.2)". The record is from RNAcentral. Lineage: Eukaryota; Metazoa; Chordata; Mammalia; Primates; Cebidae.
CAGAAAAAUAAUAUCUAUAUGUUGUAAUUCAAUAGAGAGACUUUAAUGGGGAGCCAAUUAAAAAGGGUUCAAACAACUAAAAAGCCAAAUAGGGGAUGAUGAGGCAACACGAUGAUACUUAUUAGUAGGAAAAUAGUAUCACUCUCAGGCUGGGGAGUGCUAGAGAAGAGGGUUUACCAGGAGUGAGGAGUGGAAGCUGCUUUAAGGGAACUGAAACCACAGUGGAGAUGCCUCCUUGGAGACAGAUAAUGCUGGAGGGGCCUUUGAAAGCUGAGAGUGGAAAGAAAUGCUGUGGCUCUCCUUCAACCUAUAUUUCAAAAUCCUGUCAUUGGGUGAAUUCCUAGAAGGAAGUCAGUUGACAAAGCAGCCUAAGAAACAGAGUUUGCAGGAGUCAGUGCCCUGGGAUGUCAAACAACUUUAGGAGGGGAUCCAUGUGUUUAGGCUUCUAGUUUAAUGAGGGAGUCUUUUUGUCGAAGUGAACUUGUUUUUUUCCUCAGCAAAGCAUCCCUUCCUUAGAAGAACUAUCUUUUUCAUAUUAUGAUUCCCAGUGUGCUAGUAAAAUGUGCGCCUCUCUUCUCUUUCUUAGAGGUCGGCAUUGUGACCCUGGCUAAGUCUGUAAUAGAACCUGUUUUUCCUCAUGCAUAGUGAUUGAUCCAGGGUAGUCGUAUGUCCCAAAUAUUUUCAGUCAGGGUUUUUUUUUUCAUGAGAUAUGUCAUAUGAACAAUAGUGAAUCAGAUGGAUAUAGGUAUAGAGACUAUCUUUCCUUCCAUGUAGAAAAGCAAUGCUGAGAGAUGGAGAAAGAGCCCUUGAAAGACCAUGGAUCCUGCUACAUCUCAAGAAUCUUGCUUUGUCACCCAGGCUGGAGUAUGAUGGUGCAAUCAUGACUCACGGCAGCCUUGAAUACCUGGGUUCAAGUUAUCAUCCUUCCUUAGCCUCCCAAGAGCUGGGACUACAGGUGCCCACCACCAUGCUUGGUUAUUUAUUAUUAUUAUUUUUUUGAAAUGUGGGUGUUCCUAUGUUGCCCAGGCUGGUCUCAAACUUCUGGACUCAAGUGUUCUUUCCACCUCAACCUUCCAAAGUGUUGAGAUUAUAUACAUGAGCCACUGUCUUUGGCCUGUGUGCCAUUUUGAUAGUCAUUUCUUUGAAUAUAUUUAUCCCUUAAUUUGUACUGGAUGCCAAUACAAUGGUAUUAUAAUCAACAUCUGAGUUUAUAGAAAUAUACCUCAUAUUAAUACCAAUUUAAGUUCAACAGUAUAAUAAAAUUUUGUUUCUGUAUAGUAC